This 359-nucleotide ribosomal RNA is filed under the name uncultured fungus. Its description in RNAcentral is "eukaryotic LSU rRNA". The stretch from base 1 to 141 matches the Rfam family "5.8S ribosomal RNA". Lineage: Eukaryota; Fungi. The record is from RNAcentral.
GGAUCUCUUGGUUCUGGCAUCGAUGAAGAACGCAGCGAAAUGCGAUAAGUAGUGUGAAUUGCAGAAUUUAGUGAAUCAUCGAAUCUUUGAACGCACAUUGCGCCCCUUGGUAUUCCAUGGGGCAUGCCUGUUCGAGCGUCAUUUGUACCCUCAAGCUAUGCUUGGUGUUGGGUGUUUGUCCUAUCCAUUGCGACUGGACUCGCCUUAAAGAUAUUGGCAGCCGGCAUUUUGGCCUUGGAGCGCAGCACAAUUUGCGAGUCCAAGCCGGAAUACUGACGUCCAGAUAAGCUUUUUACCACGUCUGACCUCGGAUCAGGUAGGGAUACCCGCUGAACUUAAGCAUAUCAAUAAGCGGAGGA